UUUUUUUUCUCCACGGCCUGAGGACGUGAUAGGAUUUCAUUCCCGCCCCACCUUGUUGGUUGGAUGGAAUCAUGCGCCCAAUUGUGGUCAAGACCAAGAAACUGAGAAACGAAGCAAAUCCGUGGGAUGCAGAGGGUACGCUGAUGACUUCUGCUGGGGAGAGAAGCCCAAACACACGUCCUGGGCAGAGCCCAGAGACCGGGAGUGUGGCUGCCAGUGAGCACCCGGCUGAGGGACAAGCAGGUGGGCCUCAGUGGUGGCUGCCAGGUCCCUGGACGCCGGGGGCCACCGGCCUUGCCUCUCCUCUGCCUCGGAAGCACCGGAGGCUUUGGGGAUCUGGUGGUCCUCUGGCCCUGAACGUGGACCUGGUGUGACAAAGGGAAGUUUGCCAUCUCCAUCCUCCUCAAGCUGCCUGUGCACCCCAGUAGCACCCACCCUCUCUGUGCUCCCGUCUGCACCGCAUGUCCUGGGGUCCUUCUUUGUACUGCACCCAAUGACAGGAACCAGUGCCCUGACUGUGACUUGCUUCCCCCCUCAGGGACACACAAGCACUUUCACAUCGAGGCUACUUUUCACCCCUUCUGCCUCCUGCAGGGACGCUGCAUGCAGAGGCAGGAGGACAGAGGGGCUGGUCUCAGGUGUGGCUUCUCUCACACCUGGCGC
This is a long non-coding RNA of Homo sapiens (human), 663 nucleotides long. Ensembl annotates it as long intergenic non-protein coding RNA 388. NCBI's taxonomy places the organism in Eukaryota, Metazoa, Chordata, Mammalia, Primates, Hominidae. The record is from Ensembl.